This 267-nucleotide long non-coding RNA is filed under the name Actinidia chinensis (golden kiwifruit). Its description in RNAcentral is "long non-coding RNA (ACHI_LNC008366)". Lineage: Eukaryota; Viridiplantae; Streptophyta; Magnoliopsida; Ericales; Actinidiaceae. The record is from RNAcentral.
GUUGCCCCCCGAAUUAGUGGCCAAAAUAAUUCAGAUGCAAGGUCAGAUAUGUUCUCAAUAGAGUUUCUACUGGGAUGGCUUUGGUUGUGGAUUUCCGAUGUUUGGGCAGUAUGCUCGUGGGUAUCCAAUUGGUGAUAGAAUUUUUUGCUAUGUUUUCUUCUAGUCUAUCCUAUAGUUUAGCUUUAGUUUUGAGGUUCUGGUUGUUCGGUUAUCUUCUUAUCAACCUGUUUAGCUGGCUAUCCUCUCUUAUUUUGUAAUCUUCUCUCU